Molecule: ribosomal RNA, 460 nt
Filed under: Candida tropicalis
Lineage: Eukaryota; Fungi; Ascomycota; Pichiomycetes; Serinales; Debaryomycetaceae
Description: eukaryotic LSU rRNA
Rfam family: 5.8S ribosomal RNA (bases 114-267)
Source: RNAcentral
GUUUUUUAUUGAACAAAUUUCUUUGGUGGCGGGAGCAAUCCUACCGCCAGAGGUUAUAACUAAACCAAACUUUUUAUUUACAGUCAAACUUGAUUUAUUAUUACAAUAGUCAAAACUUUCAACAACGGAUCUCUUGGUUCUCGCAUCGAUGAAGAACGCAGCGAAAUGCGAUACGUAAUAUGAAUUGCAGAUAUUCGUGAAUCAUCGAAUCUUUGAACGCACAUUGCGCCCUUUGGUAUUCCAAAGGGCAUGCCUGUUUGAGCGUCAUUUCUCCCUCAAACCCCCGGGUUUGGUGUUGAGCAAUACGCUAGGUUUGUUUGAAAGAAUUUACGUGGAAACUUAUUUUAAGCGACUUAGGUUUAUCCAAAACGCUUAUUUUGCUAGUGGCCACCACAAUUUAUUUCAUAACUUUGACCUCAAAUCAGGUAGGACUACCCGCUGAACUUAAGCAUAUCAAUAA